GCGCGCACCCGGUAGCUCCUCAGUCUGGGCAGCGGGACCGGUUGGCGGAGGCCCGGCCCCCAGAGGUGCCGGGGGAGGAGCCCGAGCCGCCGCCGCCGAGUUCGCGGCCGUCGCGGUAGGGGAGCAUGUCUGCAAGUCGAGCCAAGAAAGUGAAGAUGGCCACCAAAUCGUGCCCCGAAUGCGACCAACAGGUUCCUGUUGCAUGUAAAUCUUGUUCUUGUGGUUAUUUAUUUAUUAAUAGAAAGUAUGUACAAAUAAAAAAUUCAGAGAAAUCAUCACCUUUUAAAGAAGUGAACAGUACCAUAUCUUUGAAAGAUUUGCGAAUACUUUUUUUGUAUGAAUUUAAACUAGGACAUAGUGCAGCCAUGGCAAGUAGAAACAUCAUUUCUGUCUUUGGAGAAGGCUCUGUCAGUGAAAGGACUAUCCGGUGGUGGUUUGAAAAAUUUCGUUCUGGGGACCUGAGUCUGAAAAACGAGCCUCGAGGGAGACCCAGGUCUGUGUUAAAUGAAGAUCAGUUGAGAGCCAGGGUAGAGGCUAACCCCAAAGCAGCGAUCCGAGGCCUGGCGGCAGACUUAGGAGUUUCUGCUACGACGGUUUCUCGACACCUGGCUGCCAUAGGGAAGGUGAAACAGUUGGACAGGUGGGUGACACCGGUUGAUGGGUGAUCACAAAGCGCAUGGUUGGAGAUAUGCCCGUCCCUUAAGAUUGGACAGAGCAGAGGCCUUGUGAGAGCAUCAUAAGCUGUGACAAAAAAUGAAAUGGAAAGUGACCUGGACAAGGGUUGGAUGUUGAUGAAGUUCCCAAACAUGUUCAGCCAUCAUUCAGCCAAAAGAGGAUCUGAUGCUCCCUGUUGGCGGUGUGCAAAAAAGCUAUUUCAUUAUUGCUUUUUAACCCAAACCGCUUUUACUGCUCUAAAGCUAUCAGUAGCAUUGUCAAGAAGCUGAAACCAUGUAUCCAGACCGCUCUAAAACCGCGGCGUGGGCCAGGACAUGAGGACCUGCACUUCCAGCGACGGCGGUCGGCCGCAGACGUCACAGCCCGGCGUGCGGGCGGUGACGGAACUGGGCGAGGACAUGCUGCACGCCUCUCCUCCUUUUCCCAGGAAAGACAGGACAGCUGUAAAAGUCUCCUUGAUAGGAACCUUGGUUUGAUUAUCAAAAUAAGGGACAGGAGGCGGAGGCUGCUACAGCUCACCCCCCCAAAACUCUGCUCAGCUCCCUGAGAUAGCUUGGGUCCUAAUUAUAAAAAGGAAUAAGUGGACGCACAGUGCCAUAUACAGAUCAUGUGUCAUAGAAAUCUACACUUGAAACCUAUAUAAUCUUGUUAACCAGUAUCAGCCCAAUAAACGUAAUUAAAUUAUUUUUUAAAAAGUGGUUUUGAAUAGUCAUUUUGGUUUAUCAAGUACACAAUACCUGUUACUUAGGAAGCUCCCGCCUGGCCUAAUUGCUUAUUGUGAAACCGGGGCAGCUACAGCCACUGUAGCGGCACACAGGAGAGACCCUGCGCAGUGAGGAAUCGCAUCAAAUCCGGCGAGCCCUGGUGCGUGUGGCUCAGUUGUUGGAGCAUCAUCCCAUAACCAAAAGUUUGUGGGUUCGAAUCCUGGUCAGAGCAGAUGCCUAAGUUGCGGGUCCAGUCCCCGAUGUGGGCACAUCCUGGAGGCGACUGAUCAGGGCUUCUCUCUCGCCUCAGUGUUUCUCUGCCUUUCUCUCCAAACGCACUGAAAAAAUGUCCUUGGGUGAGGAGAGAAAAAAAAAAAAAAAGUCAGUGAAAAACGGGCUCUCCAAGCUCCUGUCCUCAGUAUGUUGGAGUCUUUAUGUUUCGGCGCUUCAGCCACACUCUCCUCCUCUAGUUUCCUUUGACCUUGGUUAAUUUGUCCAUGAUGUGCUUUCUCUGAAGAGGAAUAUUCGCUAUUCCUCUUCACCGUAUUGACUGCCCAUCAUGCACUUUUCCUGAAGGAAGUCUUCCCUGAUUGUCCCAACGCCACCAUAGGUCAGGUCCCUUUGACUGUGACCUUAGAGCUUCAGUGUUGUUCCUUCAAAAUUGUGAUCACAGUAGUAAUACAUUUAUUUGUCUGAUAGUAUGUGUUUGUCUCUGUCCUCUGCUAGAGCGUAAGAUUCGCAACAACAGGACUUUGUUGUUUUGCUCACAAGCUCAUACCCCCAUCAAGGGUACAAGAUCUAGCACAUGGUAGGUACCUAGUAAAUGUAUGAAUGAAUAAAUGCUAGAGCCAGUUUCAUCCACUUCAUAGGAAAUCCUUGCUUUGUUAUCAUUGCAAGUACGGGAUAUGUUUGACAGCAAAUAAUGAAAAACCUAAUGCACAGUGGCUUAAAUAAGUAGGUUUUGUUUUCUAUAACUCAUGACAAUUUUCAAGCAUGCAAAGUACUUGACAAAUACAGUGAUCACUUGUGCCAACCACCUAGUAUGUACUGUUGACAUUUUACUGUACUUGCUUUACUUACCUACCCAUGUAGUAAUUUUUUUUUUUUGAGGUGCAGGCAUUAGUACAUUUUACCGUAAAUACUUCAGCAUGUCUGCUUAAGAUUCCUGUUCAGGUAAAAUUUAAAUUCAAUAAAACGCCCAAAUCUCAACUGUAUUAUUCAAUGUGUUUUGACACAUGCGAACACUUGUAUAACACAACCCCUACUGAGAUACAGACACCAGCACAGAAAUUUCCUUCACACCCCUUUCAUUUUAUCCUCACCCUUAACCCACCCCCCCCUGGAGGCAAACACUGAUCUUUUUCUACUGUAGCAUAGUUUUGUCCUGGAACUGAAUUAAAUGAAAUUGUACAGUAUGUGCUCUUCUGUGUAAGACUUUACUAAGCAUGUUUUUGAGAUUCGUCCAUUUUGUUAUGUGAAUCAAUAAUUUGUUUCUUUUAAAAGCUGUUUAGUAUUCCAUUAAAUUAAUAUACCACAUUUUGCUUAUCUAUUUAUCUGUUUGAUAGACGUUUGUGUGUGUUUUUCCCAGAUUAUGG
Pteronotus mesoamericanus is the source of this 2974-nucleotide long non-coding RNA. RefSeq lists it as uncharacterized. Lineage: Eukaryota; Metazoa; Chordata; Mammalia; Chiroptera; Mormoopidae. The record is from RefSeq and is a predicted model, not a curated record. The transcript has 3 exons.